CCUACGGGGGGCAGCAGUGAGGAAUAUUGGUCAAUGGGCGAGAGCCUGAACCAGCCAAGUCGCGUGAAGGAUGACGGCCCUACGGGUUGUAAACUUCUUUUGUCAGGGAGCAAUUGGGUCCACGCGUGGGCUUAGCGAGAGUACCUGAAGAAAAAGCAUCGGCUAACUCCGUGCCAGCAGCCGCGGUAUUACGGAGGAUCCAAGCGUUAUCCGGAUUUAUUGGGUUUAAAGGGUGCGUAGGCGGAUUGAUAAGUUAGCGGUGAAAUGUCCGGGCUGAACUCGGGAAUUGCCUUUCAUACUGGUGAUCUAGAGUGUAGAAGAGGUAGGCGGAAGGUGUGGUGGAGCGGUGAAAUGCUUAGAUAUCAUGCAGAACACCGAUUGCGAAGGCAGCUUAC
This 395-nucleotide ribosomal RNA is filed under the name uncultured bacterium. Its description in RNAcentral is "partial 16S ribosomal RNA". It matches the Rfam family "Bacterial small subunit ribosomal RNA", at positions 338 to 729 of the family's 1533-position model. The record is from RNAcentral.